AUCACCUACGGGACGCAGGAGUGAGGAAUAUUGGUCAAUGGGAGAGAUCCUGAACCAACCAAGCCGCGUGAGGGAAGACGGCCCUAUGGGUUGUAAACCUCUUUUGUCGGAGAACAAAACCCGGGACGUGUCCCGGACUGCGUGUAUCCGAAGAAAAAGCAUCGGCUAACUCCGUGCCAGCAGGCGCGGUAAUACGGAGGAUGCGAGCGUUAUCCGGAUUUAUUGGGUUUAAAGGGCGCGUAGGCGGUCCGUUAAGUCAGC
This 261-nucleotide ribosomal RNA is filed under the name uncultured bacterium. Its description in RNAcentral is "partial 16S ribosomal RNA". It matches the Rfam family "Bacterial small subunit ribosomal RNA", at positions 334 to 592 of the family's 1533-position model. The record is from RNAcentral.